This 253-nucleotide ribosomal RNA is filed under the name uncultured bacterium. Its description in RNAcentral is "partial 16S ribosomal RNA". It matches the Rfam family "Bacterial small subunit ribosomal RNA", at positions 524 to 776 of the family's 1533-position model. The record is from RNAcentral.
UACGUAGGUGACCAGCGUUGUCCGGAUUUACUGGGCGUAAAGAGCGCGCAGGCGGUCGUUCAAGUCGAGUGUGAAAGCCCCCGGCUCAACUGGGGAGGGUCACUCGAUACUGAUCGACUUGAAGGCAGGAGAGGGAAGCGGAAUUCCCGGUGUAGUGGUGAAAUGCGUAGAUAUCGGGAGGAACACCAGUGGCGAAGGCGGCUUCCUGGCCUGUUCUUGACGCUGAGGCGCGAAAGCGUGGGGAGCGAACAGG